RNAcentral lists this transfer RNA (27 nucleotides) under Pseudotrapelus dhofarensis. RNAcentral describes it as "partial tRNA-Leu". The record is from RNAcentral. Lineage: Eukaryota; Metazoa; Chordata; Lepidosauria; Squamata; Agamidae.
ACUUUUAAAGGAAAAUAGUAUAUCCGA